UAAUAGUCAUUUUAUUUCCAAAUAAAAUCCAAAAACAAAAUUUAGUGAGUAGGAUGAGCCAAUAAGUGAUCCUCUGCUGCCAUCUUCAGGUUAUGAAAUCCGUGAGUGAAAACAACAUUAUUAUUAAUAAGUGUUAAGUAAUAAUAAUAAUAAUAAUAAUAAUAAUAAUAAUAAAUAUAAUUCAAGGUAUACGGACUUAAAUGUACAUCUCAGAUGAUAAAAAAUAAAUUAAUAAAAUAGAUAUAAAAAUAACUUUGACUAUUUUACACCUCACGUGCGAAGCCCGCGAAAGAACCAGAGGCUAUAUAAGCUGCGGUCCGUUCACAUCACGCACACAGCCGGACUCCCUUUGACUGAGAGGACAUCGCUUGACGGAAGAGCUUUCCUCAGGUUGUCAUCCAAUUGUUGUAAGUGAUCAAUCUAGUCAUUCUGCAUCUUGGACUUUCCAUGUUCAACACACUGCUGCUGCACCCCAAAUGCUCCACAGCAUUGAGUGUCUUUGGCUUUAUUUGUCAAGAUCAUCUGAAAAGAGUGCAUCUGUGCCAUUUUGCUGGAUGGAGAACCCGAGAAGUUUAUAAACAGAUGGCAUGGUGGAAGAACAGAGCAGGCCUUACAACAACAACAACAACAAAAUAUUUCUGAGGAACUUAAACUUGAGGUCCUGAGGGGAGUUUCUGUUGUGCUUUUGUGUAUUUGUUGAUGUCAC
This is a long non-coding RNA of Labeo rohita (rohu), 706 nucleotides long. RefSeq lists it as uncharacterized. The transcript is spliced from 6 exons. Lineage: Eukaryota; Metazoa; Chordata; Actinopteri; Cypriniformes; Cyprinidae. The record is from RefSeq and is a predicted model, not a curated record.